UGGUGGAGUGAUCUGUCUGGUUAAUUCCGUUAACGAACGAGACCUUGACCUAUUAAAUAGUCGUGUGUAAAGGUUAGCUUCGGCUGCCAAUUUACGCUAUAGACUUCUUAGAGGGACAAUUGGUGAAUAUCAGCCAAUGGAAGUUCGAGGCCAAAACA
RNAcentral lists this ribosomal RNA (158 nucleotides) under uncultured eukaryote. RNAcentral's name for it is "partial 18S ribosomal RNA". It matches the Rfam family "Eukaryotic small subunit ribosomal RNA", at positions 1299 to 1458 of the family's 1831-position model. The record is from RNAcentral.